RNAcentral lists this ribosomal RNA (164 nucleotides) under Ceratobasidiaceae sp. RNAcentral's name for it is "partial large subunit ribosomal RNA". It matches the Rfam family "Eukaryotic large subunit ribosomal RNA", at positions 99 to 261 of the family's 3401-position model. Lineage: Eukaryota; Fungi; Basidiomycota; Agaricomycetes; Cantharellales; Ceratobasidiaceae. The record is from RNAcentral.
CGGCAACAGCUCAAAUUUGAAAUCUGGCUCUCGGGCCCGAGUUGUAGUCUAGAGAAGCAUCAUCCGUGCUGGACCAUGUACAAGUCUCUUGGAAUAGAGCGUCAUAGAGGGUGAGAAUCCCGUCCUUGACAUGGACUACCAGUGCUUUGUGUUGUGCUCUCAAC